RNAcentral lists this ribosomal RNA (501 nucleotides) under uncultured bacterium. RNAcentral describes it as "partial 16S ribosomal RNA". It matches the Rfam family "Bacterial small subunit ribosomal RNA", at positions 30 to 523 of the family's 1533-position model. The record is from RNAcentral.
AUUGAACGCUGGCGGCAGGCUUAACACAUGCAAGUCGAGCGGGGGAAGGUAGCUUGCUACUGGACCUAGCGGCGGACGGGUGAGUAAUGCUUAGGAAUCUGCCUAUUAGUGGGGGGCAACAUCUCGAAAGGGAUGCUAAUACCGCAUACGUCCUACGGGAGAAAGCAGGGGAUCUUCGGACCUUGCGCUAACAGAUGAGCCUAAGUCGGAUUAGCUAGUUGGUGGGGUAAAGGCCUACCAAGGCGACGAUCUGUAGCGGGUCUGAGAGGAUGAUCCGCCACACUGGGACUGAGACACGGCCCAGACUCCUACGGGAGGCAGCAGUGGGGAAUAUUGGACAAUGGGGGGAACCCUGAUCCAGCCAUGCCGCGUGUGUGAAGAAGGCCUUAUGGUUGUAAAGCACUUUAAGCGAGGAGGAGGCUACUUUAGUUAAUACCUAGAGAUAGUGGACGUUACUCGCAGUAUAAGCACCGGCUAACUCUGUGCCAGCAGCCGCCGUAA